CUUCUUUCAACUUUUAUCUAUUUCUUUGCUUCUUCCAAAAGUGAAGAUUCUGCUUUCACCUUCUAAGUGACCUCCUCACAGAUGCUGGCACGUGCUACUAGUUGGCUCUAAAGUUAUUUCUUCUUAAGGCUAAACAAACCCUCUCCUUUUAUCGCCUCUACACAGGACCUGAACAUUGAAAUGGAUGUAACACAGGCAUAGAGGAAUAUACAAUCUCCAUAGCUUUCCAAGAUUUCCAUAUCUGUCAAGCAGGUGGUGAGCCUUUACUUUCUGCCUUGCACUGCUUAGCAGGACAAUUGGAUGGGAGAGAAGUCAAAAUGCUAAUUGGGAU
Long non-coding RNA from Zonotrichia albicollis (white-throated sparrow), 331 nucleotides. The record is from Ensembl. NCBI's taxonomy places the organism in Eukaryota, Metazoa, Chordata, Aves, Passeriformes, Passerellidae.